This 241-nucleotide ribosomal RNA is filed under the name Salmonella enterica subsp. enterica serovar Infantis. RNAcentral's name for it is "partial 16S ribosomal RNA". It matches the Rfam family "Bacterial small subunit ribosomal RNA", at positions 298 to 531 of the family's 1533-position model. Lineage: Bacteria; Pseudomonadati; Pseudomonadota; Gammaproteobacteria; Enterobacterales; Enterobacteriaceae. The record is from RNAcentral.
GGAUGACCAGCCACACUGGAACUGAGACACGGUCCAGACUCCUACGGGAGGCAGCAGUGGGGAAUAUUGCACAAUGGGCGCAAGCCUGAUGCAGCCAUGCCGCGUGUAUGAAGAAGGCCUUCGGGUUGUAAAGUACUUUCAGCGGGGAGGAAGGUGUUGUGGUUAAUAACCGCAGCAAUUGACGUUACCCGCAGAAGAAGCACCGGCUAACUCCGUGCCAGCAGCCGCGGUAAUACGGAGG